Molecule: non-coding RNA, 92 nt
Organism: Dendrothele bispora CBS 962.96
Lineage: Eukaryota; Fungi; Basidiomycota; Agaricomycetes; Agaricales
Source: the annotation of a GenBank genome assembly
UCCAUCAUGGUGUAGUGGCUAACAUUAUCGCCUCUCAUAUAAGGUUAAUAUUGUGAGCGCGAUAGCCCAGGGUUCGAUUCCCUGUGAUGGAA